UUUUGUGGAGGGUUCGAUUCUGGCUCAGGAUGAACGCUGGCGGCGUGCUUAACACAUGCAAGUCGAACGGGAUCCAUCAGGCUUUGCUUGGUGGUGAGAGUGGCGAACGGGUGAGUAAUGCGUGACCGACCUGCCCCAUACACCGGAAUAGCUCCUGGAAACGGGUGGUAAUGCCGGAUGCUCCAGUUGAUCGCAUGGUCUUCUGGGAAAGCUUUCGCGGUAUGGGAUGGGGUCGCGUCCUAUCAGCUUGACGGCGGGGUAACGGCCCACCGUGGCUUCGACGGGUAGCCGGCCUGAGAGGGCGACCGGCCACAUUGGGACUGAGAUACGGCCCAGACUCCUACGGGAGGCAGCAGUGGGGAAUAUUGCACAAUGGGCGCAAGCCUGAUGCAGCGACGCCGCGUGAGGGAUGGAGGCCUUCGGGUUGUAAACCUCUUUUAUCGGGGAGCAAGCGAGAGUGAGUUUACCCGUUGAAUAAGCACCGGCUAACUACGUGCCAGCAGCCGCGGUAAUACGUAGGGUGCAAGCGUUAUCCGGAAUUAUUGGGCGUAAAGGGCUCGUAGGCGGUUCGUCGCGUCCGGUGUGAAAGUCCAUCGCUUAACGGUGGAUCCGCGCCGGGUACGGGCGGGCUUGAGUGCGGUAGGGGAGACUGGAAUUCCCGGUGUAACGGUGGAAUGUGUAGAUAUCGGGNNNNNUGGGGAGCGAACAGGAUUAGAUACCCUGGUAGUCCACGCCGUAAACGGUGGAUGCUGGAUGUGGGGCCCGUUCCACGGGUUCCGUGUCGGAGCUAACGCGUUAAGCAUCCCGCCUGGGGAGUACGGCCGCAAGGCUAAAACUCAAAGAAAUUGACGGGGGCCCGCACAAGCGGCGGAGCAUGCGGAUUAAUUCGAUGCAACGCGAAGAACCUUACCUGGGCUUGACAUGUUCCCGACGGUCGUAGAGAUACGGCUUCCCUUCGGGGCGGGUUCACAGGUGGUGCAUGGUCGUCGUCAGCUCGUGUCGUGAGAUGUUGGGUUAAGUCCCGCAACGAGCGCAACCCUCGCCCCGUGUUGCCAGCGGAUUAUGCCGGGAACUCACGGGGGACCGCCGGGGUUAACUCGGAGGAAGGUGGGGAUGACGUCAGAUCAUCAUGCCCCUUACGUCCAGGGCUUCACGCAUGCUACAAUGGCCGGUACAACGGGAUGCGACGCGGCGACGCGGAGCGGAUCCCUGAAAACCGGUCUCAGUUCGGAUCGCAGUCUGCAACUCGACUGCGUGAAGGCGGAGUCGCUAGUAAUCGCGAAUCAGCAACGUCGCGGUGAAUGCGUUCCCGGGCCUUGUACACACCGCCCGUCAAGUCAUGAAAGUGGGCAGCACCCGAAGCCGGUGGCCUAACCCCUUGUGGGAUGGAGCCGUCUAAGGUGAGGCUCGUGAUUGGGACUAAGUCGUAACAAGGUAGCCGUACCGGAAGGUGCGGCUGGAUCACCUCCUUUCUACGGAG
Molecule: ribosomal RNA, 1480 nt
Filed under: Bifidobacterium longum subsp. longum
Lineage: Bacteria; Bacillati; Actinomycetota; Actinomycetes; Bifidobacteriales; Bifidobacteriaceae
Description: bacterial SSU rRNA
Rfam family: Bacterial small subunit ribosomal RNA
Source: RNAcentral